UACGUACUCCCUCCGUCCCGAAAUACUUGUUGGAGAAAUGAAUAAAAUUAGAUGUAUCUAUAAUUAAAAUACGUCUAGAUUCAUCCAUUUUUCCGACAAGUAUUUCCGGACGGAGGGAGUACUAU
Molecule: non-coding RNA, 125 nt
Organism: Triticum aestivum (bread wheat)
Lineage: Eukaryota; Viridiplantae; Streptophyta; Magnoliopsida; Poales; Poaceae
Source: Rfam